AAUCCAUAGGUUAAUGAGGCGAACCGGGGGAACUGAAACAUCUAAGUACCCCGAGGAAAAGAAAUCAACCGAGAUUCCCCCAGUAGCGGCGAGCGAACGGGGAGGAGCCCAGAGCCUGAAUCAGCAUGUGUGUUAGUGGAAGCGUCUGGAAAGGCGCGCGAUACAGGGUGACAGCCCCGUACACAAAAGCGCAUGUGCUGUGAGCUCGAUGAGUAGGGCGGGACACGUGGUAUCCUGUCUGAAUAUGGGGGGACCAUCCUCCAAGGCUAAAUACUCCUGACUGACCGAUAGUGAACCAGUACCGUGAGGGAAAGGCGAAAAGAACCCCGGCGAGGGGAGUGAAAAAGAACCUGAAACCGUGUACGUACAAGCAGUGGGAGCACCCUUUGGGGUGUGACU
RNAcentral lists this ribosomal RNA (399 nucleotides) under Salmonella enterica. RNAcentral's name for it is "partial 23S ribosomal RNA". It matches the Rfam family "Bacterial large subunit ribosomal RNA", at positions 161 to 598 of the family's 2925-position model. Lineage: Bacteria; Pseudomonadati; Pseudomonadota; Gammaproteobacteria; Enterobacterales; Enterobacteriaceae. RNAcentral also lists the same sequence under 2 other names. The record is from RNAcentral.